CAUCCCGUGGACCGGGCCGGGUAAAGCCUUCUUUUUGCGGGCCUGUGCCUGCUCGGGUUUCACAUUAUGGGCCCGAGCUAGGCUAGCCAUGGUCAACUUUUACAUCCCGCUUCAUUGGGCCGUGCAGGGUAGCCUAGAAAUUGCUCGGGCUCGUGCCGGGCCCGGGACAGGUACGGAGUCGUCGCGCCGGGCCCUUGGCGGGUAAAUCAAAGGAAGGCCGGGAUCGGGCCGGGCCUGAGCCUUAGAAUACGGCACGUGCAAUGCUCUACCCUGUACGGUACACGUCCGCUGCGAUACUGCGCACACACUGCGUAAAAAUGCGCAUCCACCGAGAAAAUUCAAAAUUUCCGGAAAUUUUGAAUCGCUUGAAAAAAAAAGUUUCUUUUUUGUUUUUUUCCGAAAAAUUGAGAAAAAUAGAAACAAAUGUGGUUACUGCUGAGUCGAAGCAUUGCCGGCCAAGCCACAGCAUACAAUGAGACAGAAGCUUUAGUAGUGUUCAUCCUCUAGGCAUAAAUGCAGAGCAGAGCAUCCCAUGAGACUGCUGUCUACUCAGCGAUAGGUAAUUAAAACAACCUGUCCACUAUGGCGGGCUAGACAUUAUGUGAAUGCGAUGGCGAUCGCUUGGAGCGGCCAGACGGAGCACUAAGUUGGUGCUUGUUGGCGGACACAGGGGUGGCACAAACCCGCCAUAAAGUCCCUGGAUGACCUCGCUCUUUGAGAAGUAGCGACAGGCUUUACGGCGCCGGCAAAAUGCACACAUUGGCCGGAGUCGCGCACUGAUUUCCUAGCGGCACUUCCGCCGUUUCCUCCGCCAUGAUCUUCCCAAACCUGGUUGCAGCGGCGACAGUGCGCUGAGUUUCUCCCGUGCUUGCGGUUUGAAUAAUCUUUCGUGCGUCGGCAACUUAAUCAGUUGAGAAUGACCGGCUGUUGCGCCUUCGGGUGCAGUGGUCGUCCCGAAACCGGGCAAGCUAUGUUUUCUGUUCCUAUGGGCAAAAGCAAAGAAGCUGCGGCGAGGCGAAAGAUGUGGCUGCACAAGAUAGGUCGAAAAAAUUUCAAGCCGACGAAAAGUAGUAAGCUCUGCGAUAAACACUUCACAGAAGAUCAGUAUGAAUCGCUUGUGCUUCAAAAGUUCGGGCAGAAGAAACUGAAAUGCGACGCCAUCCCGACGAUCUUUUCACAUCGACCAGAGAAGGUUUUAUCGAGGAAGAAUCCCCGUGAACGACGCCGAAUGGGUCAAGGUAGGUACAGGAUGGUUCAGAGAAGUCUAUUGGAACCUCGGUUGGGAUCUCCAGUUUCGUGACAUCGGCUUACGAUAUCUAGGCGCCAACACUUCGGAACAUCAUGUGUUAGCGGACAUCACGUCGUCAUUCAAUGGCCAGCUAAUGCCCUGCUCAAGUGGCUCUGAUGCCAGCGACAAAAACUUUACAGAAGCACAUGAAACAGAUUUCUACGCAGCUGAGCAGCUUCCAGAUGCCACUGAUACAGAUAUGUCGAGUUGUCCCUCUCAACCAAGAUUGCUGUUUGAUCAUGCGAAUUACACUUUACCAGGAGAGAAUAGUGCAGGCCUUGUUGCUGCUUAUGAAGAGGUGUCCGAGAUGAUUGUCACAAGCUCUACAGUGAAAAGCACUCAAACUG
Long non-coding RNA from Ornithodoros turicata, 1635 nucleotides. RefSeq lists it as uncharacterized. The transcript has 4 exons. NCBI's taxonomy places the organism in Eukaryota, Metazoa, Arthropoda, Arachnida, Ixodida, Argasidae. The record is from RefSeq and is a predicted model, not a curated record.